ACAACGAAGAGUUUGAUCCUGGCUCAGGAUGAACGCUAGCGACAGGCUUAACACAUGCAAGUCGAGGGGCAGCAUGUUUUGUAGCAAUACAGAUUGAUGGCGACCGGCGCACGGGUGAGUAACGCGUAUGCAACUUACCUAUCAGAGGGGGAUAGCCCGGCGAAAGUCGGAUUAAUACUCCAUAAAACAGGGGUUCCGCAUGGGACUAUUUGU
This 213-nucleotide ribosomal RNA is filed under the name Parabacteroides sp. Its description in RNAcentral is "partial 16S ribosomal RNA". It matches the Rfam family "Bacterial small subunit ribosomal RNA", at positions 1 to 201 of the family's 1533-position model. Lineage: Bacteria; Pseudomonadati; Bacteroidota; Bacteroidia; Bacteroidales; Tannerellaceae. The record is from RNAcentral.